AUAAAAAGAAACUAAUUAAUAUUCAAAAAUCUAACUAAUAAUUAAAAACUAACCAAUAUUAAAAAACUAACUAAUUCUUAAUUAAAUAACUAAUAUUUUUUUUAAAACACUAACUAAUUAUUUUAAUUUAAAUAUCUAAACAAAAAGAAAAUUACCAAUUAAAAAUUGAGUACAAAUUAUAAAUCACACCAAAAUUAUCAGCACAAAACACAUUAUUUGAAAA
RNAcentral lists this long non-coding RNA (223 nucleotides) under Lathyrus oleraceus (garden pea). Its description in RNAcentral is "Pisum sativum (pea) long non-coding RNA (PSAT_LNC021541)". The record is from RNAcentral. Lineage: Eukaryota; Viridiplantae; Streptophyta; Magnoliopsida; Fabales; Fabaceae.